UACGGAGGGCGCGAGCGUUAAUCGGAAUUACUGGGCGUAAAGCGCGCGUAGGCUGUUGUGUAAGUUGGGGGUGAAAUCCCACGGCUCAACCGUGGAACAGCCCUUGAUACUGCGCGACUUGAAUCCGGGAGAGGGUGGCGGAAUUCCAGGUGUAGGAGUGGAAUGCGCAGAUAUCGGGAAGAACACCGAUGGCGAAGGCAGAUCUCUGGGCCGCAACCGACGCUGAGGCGCGAAAGCGUGGGGAGCAAACAGG
RNAcentral lists this ribosomal RNA (253 nucleotides) under uncultured Desulfovibrio sp. RNAcentral's name for it is "partial 16S ribosomal RNA". It matches the Rfam family "Bacterial small subunit ribosomal RNA", at positions 524 to 776 of the family's 1533-position model. Lineage: Bacteria; Pseudomonadati; Thermodesulfobacteriota; Desulfovibrionia; Desulfovibrionales; Desulfovibrionaceae. The record is from RNAcentral.